CUACCGUGCUGCUUUACCCUGCUGCCAGUGUCCGUUCACCUCAUGUGUCUGUCCCUGAGAGACCGUACAUGUCUCCCACCUAUGAUGGCUGGCAGCAGGGCAGCAGAGAAGAGACCAGGAUCCAGGCCCAGAGCACCCAGCUGAGUCCUGGAAGACGACGGCGCAGUUCUUCUAUCUCUCGAUGCACCUCGUCCUCCCCAUUGGUCUACAGCGUCCUGGUGGGGGAUAAGCAGACCCGCUACAACCUGAGGAACCGGAGGAGCUGUGCUGUGUUGGACCAGGACUGAGACGGACCGAGGAUGGGCGAAGUGAAAGUCAACGCUAGUGCUCUUCAGAGUAGGAUGGGAAUCACAGGAUUUAUGCUUGAACCUGAAUCUGGUGUUUAUUAGCCACUGUUUCGUCUAUUUUUAUUCAAUCAAAGAUCACAAACAUUGAGUUCAGUGACAGACAAUGAAACAUCU
Esox lucius (northern pike) is the source of this 461-nucleotide long non-coding RNA. The record is from Ensembl. Lineage: Eukaryota; Metazoa; Chordata; Actinopteri; Esociformes; Esocidae.